GAAAGAAUCAGAUCUUUAUCUGUGCAUUUCUGGUGCCUGGCACAGUUUCAGCACAAACAAGGCAGAGAAGCCCUAAAGUUCAGAGCCCGGGUCAGACACUCCAGGUUUUAAAGGACACCAACACUCAGCAUGAUCUACGAAAACUAAACUCCCAAGCUCAGAAAAUGUCUCCAGUAAAUCUGUAAGCAUCACCUGACUUGUAAGUAGAAAAAUGAGCAUCUGUACCUCUGGGAAGAACUG
Bos grunniens (domestic yak) is the source of this 240-nucleotide long non-coding RNA. Lineage: Eukaryota; Metazoa; Chordata; Mammalia; Artiodactyla; Bovidae. The record is from Ensembl.